AUGGCUUCCUGGAUGUGCCGCAUGGCUGAUCAGGCGAGGUCGGUGGCAUCACUAGUAGCAAGCAUCAAUAGUCCUCGCCACCGUCGUUGUGCUGGACCCCUCUGUCAUUGGCUGGUGCCCCCAAUGCAGUGGAAGGACUUAGCUCGAGCGGGGCAGUCGGUGGCACAACUCGCGGACGCCAACCUCAUUCUAGAUCUGGCGAUGGAAGUGGUGUGGGCGACGACGAGCUCACGGAUGCCAAUGCCAAAUUUGUUGGCGAGCUCCAUCCGUGGAGCCACUCUCCCCCUCCCCCCCAACCCUGAAUGCCCGAAGCUCCACACCCUUCCAUUGCCG
This 333-nucleotide long non-coding RNA is filed under the name Oryza sativa Indica Group (long-grained rice). Its description in RNAcentral is "lncRNA OsZS97_06G022550". Lineage: Eukaryota; Viridiplantae; Streptophyta; Magnoliopsida; Poales; Poaceae. RNAcentral also lists the same sequence under 1 other name. The record is from RNAcentral.